Odontomachus brunneus is the source of this 2862-nucleotide long non-coding RNA. RefSeq lists it as uncharacterized. Lineage: Eukaryota; Metazoa; Arthropoda; Insecta; Hymenoptera; Formicidae. The record is from RefSeq and is a predicted model, not a curated record. The transcript is spliced from 2 exons.
AUAUUAUUAAUGUUCUAAAAUAGAUCCGGACGUUACAAUAUAUAUUUCAGUGGCGACGCCUAACCACAUUCGCGACUAUUGACGAUAUUGUCAACAUGAAAGCAACGAAGAGGGUGGCCAAAAUGUGCCUCAUUCUAAAGCAGUGAGAUCAAUAGAUGAAAUAGAAAUACAACGUUCCAAAAAUCUGAUUUCCAUUACGGUUUUUAAUUUAUAGAAAAUGUUAGGAUUGGAAUUUCGGAACGAUCAAGAGCGCGUUGGAAAGCUGAGUGUCUACUUUUCAGGAAAAAAUAUAUUAUUUUUAUAAAGUGUCAAUUAACCGGAAAUUCUGCUGUUUCAGUCGGAAUUCCAAUUAAAUUGGCUCAUAUUAAAAAGGCCAAUUGAACUGGCUCAUAUUAAAAAAGCCAAUUGAAUUGGCUCAUAUCAAUCGUCAAUUAAACACGAUAAUUAACUUAAAUAAUAUUUAAUUAUCCACAAUCCUGCUCUGCACAUAUGAGUAUACUAUAUAAAACAUAAACAAUAAAAAAGUAGUAACUGGAAAAUUCAUGAAAAAUAAGGUGACGAAUUGGUCCUAUGACCGAUAGUUUUUAUAUUUUAGUUUUAAAGGUCUAAAUCAACAUAGUCCAUUUACUUAAAAAAUACUGUCUAUUGCAAAACAAGUUGCAUAUCUUUUCAUGUUUGUAUGGUUUGUGUGUGUAUGUUGCACAAAAGGGAGUGUAAUGUAAAAUAAAUAUUCUUAUACGUACAAAUGUACACACGUGCACGAUGCAACUCGCUAACGCGCGAGUGAUUGCACAUUAAUUUUUACAUAACUUGAAAAUUAAAAGCGACAUUUCUGUAAUAUUCUUAUUUUAUAGUUGAAUUACUUUCAGCUAUAGUCAAGUGUUAAUUAAAAAGAGGCUAGAAUGUCACUGAAUGGAGUUCCAGGUUCCUUUGCUGCUGCUUCGAAUGUCUCAAUAAACGCUUUUUUUUGAGAUUCUUUAGAUAGCUAAAAUUAUGAACAAUAAUAUAAGUUAUAAAAUAUGUGACUUAAAAAUUAUGUUAAUUUACCUUGUGAUAAAAGUCUGAAGCGGCUAUAUAUAACAUCUUCUUGUCUUCGUACUCAUACUUGCCGAUUCUUGAUUGAACGUACGGAAACCUGUCAUAGCUGUAGCUAAGGAAACAUUAUUUCUCUUUAUACAGAAUUGUGAAUUUAUCUCAACAGAAAAAGGAUACAACGCUCUCAACCAAUGAUUCGUCGAAGCGCUUAUAAAGAAACAAGAUAAACACCAAGUCGACAUCGCCAUUGGUAAACUCUGGAUAAAGUUGGGUAGACUAAAUACUACCCAAUCUUGAAGAAGUUCCAUUUCCGUGCAAGUACAUGCUUUCUCACAGACCUAAAAAAAAAGAAAAAGUAAAUCAAGUUGAAUAAUGCUCCAUCGUGGCGCAGUAUCAUUGCAAUUGUCGUCCCAUAAACCUUAAAAACAACAGCAGAGAGUAAUCUCUGAUGCGGUUGUUGUGGCGACAGAAAUUCUCCUAUAACUUUCGUCAAGAUUUCUGACGGGGGGAAGAAGUCUCCGAGGACGCCGGAAAGAACAGUACAUAGCACUUCCACUUCCAUAGGAUGUCCCUUUCGAAUUUUAUCGAAUAUCGCAGAAGUACGUUCUAUAGAUCUGACCAAUGCUUCCGGUUCUACGUCCGGCAAAGGUUCUUCCACACCGGGUUGAUUUAGCCGAUCGGCCGCUUCCGUGUACAUACAUGUCAAUAGAAGUUGCAGAGCAGGUAGUGCUAGCAACGGGCUCGAUUGCUUCAGCCGAUCUAUCGCAACUUUAACAAUUUGUUCAGCAACCUUCCCGACCACGCUUUUCGUCGCGACGAGCCUCUCAAGACCCUGUCGGCAAAUCGGCAGUUUUCAUACUGCGUUACUUGAGCGAUUGCGUGAAAGGCGUCAUAACAUACCUGCAGUAAGGUCUGAUGCAAACCAUACGAGAUAUUCGGAAACGUGACUAGAGAAAGAACUAAUUCUAACACGGCUGGUGCUUCCGUGUCUGGCGGCGUGUCUUCCGCAUGCUCCAGCAAAAAGAACACUAAAGCCCACAUUAUCCCUUGAUGCUCUUCACUUUGAUUUAGAACGCUGUAUCAAAGAAAAAAUAAGUUAAAUAUACUAUUCGAUUAUAUUGGAUAUGUAGAUCUAAUUAGGUAAAUUAUAUUCGACUAAAUGGAUAAAUAAAUCAGUCAAUAAGUUUUCGAUAUACGAGUAACUAUAUAUCUUAAUAUACCUGAAACUUCUUUAGUUUCAAACAGAUGACAAAAGAAUGUCUCGGGAACAACAUAUUCUAUUUAACCGGACAUAUCAAAUAAUUGAAAUUAAUUUCUUGUCUCAUAUUUUUUUAAGAUUUCAAAAUCACUUUGACUAUAAUACGGAAACAUAUAAUAUAGAACACAUUUUUUAAUAUAAUUGUAAGAUUUUUAAUAAUUUAUAAAAUAAUUUAUAAAAUUAUACACGAAAAAAUAUUUUUAUCAGAAUUGUAGUUAAUGUAAAAAUGAGUUCAAUAAUUUGCAAUAUCAUGAUCUUGCGAUAAAUUUAAAACGUAUUCUAUAUCAAGUCAGGAUAACUUUGAAGUUUGAAAACGUGACAUCUGCAGAAAAUUAAUUUCGAUUAUUUGAUGCACCCUAUUGAACAGAAUAUUUUUCCUAGAACCUUUUUAUAAUACGAAACAAUUAAGGAAAUUAUUUAAAGAAAUAAUUUAAUGUAAUUUUAAUAUUAAAUAAUAUUAAAUAAUUUAAUUUAAUCUCAAAUUUAACGCUAAGAUAUAAUGACUCAAUCUUGUAUAUGUUCUAUUGACACGAAUAAACUGAAAUAAAAUUCGAAAUUACCCAUUCGAA